GAUGAACGCUGGCGGCGUGCCUAAUACAUGCAAGUCGAGCGAAAGGACGAGAAGCUGGCUCCGCUGAUGUUAGCGGCGGAGGGGAGAGAAACACGAGGAUAAGCUACCUAUAAGACGGGGAUAAGUCCGGGAAAGGGGAGAUAAUACCGGAGAAUAUUUUGAACAGGAUGGGGAAAAAGUGAAAGACGGUCUUGCUGUUAGUUAUAGAUGGAUCCGCGCUGGAUUAGCUAGUUGGUAAGGUAACGGCCUACCAAGGCAACGAUGCGUAGCCGACCUGAGAGGAUGACCAGCCACACUGGAACUGAGACACGGUCCAGACUCCUACGGGAGGCAGCAGUAGGGAAUCUUGCGCAAUGGGCGAAAGCCUGACCCAGCAACGCCGCGUGAGUGAUGAAGGUCUUCGGAUUGUAAAGCACUGUUAUUCGGAAAGAACACAUGUGUCAGAAUCUGUGCACAUCAUGACGGUACCUGAUCAGAAAGCCACGGCUAACUACGUG
Molecule: ribosomal RNA, 497 nt
Filed under: uncultured bacterium
Lineage: Bacteria
Description: partial 16S ribosomal RNA
Rfam family: Bacterial small subunit ribosomal RNA
Source: RNAcentral